AACGAACGCUGGCGGCGUGCCUAAUACAUGCAAGUCGAACGGGGAAAGUAGCAAUAUGAGUACUAGUGGCGCACGGGUGAGGAAUACAUGGGUAAUCUGCCUUCAAGUUUGGGAUAACCAGUCGAAAGAUUGGCUAAUACCGGAUAAGACCACAUGAACUGCGGUUCAAGAGGUCAAAGGUUUUUCGCUUGAAGAUGAGCCCAUGUGGGAUUAGCUAGUUGGUGAGGUAAUGGCUCACCAAGGCGACGAUCCCUAACUGGUCUUAGAGGAUGAUCAGUCACACUGGAACUGAGACACGGUCCAGACUCCUACGGGAGGCAGCAGUAGGGAAUAUUGCGCAAUGGGGGAAACCCUGACGCAGCGACGCCGCGUGAGUGAUGAAGGCCUUCGGGUCGUAAAGCUCUGUCGUAUGGGACUAACAAAAUGAAGGUACCAUGCAAGAAAGGAUCGGCUAACUUCGUGCCAGCAGCCGCGGUAA
RNAcentral lists this ribosomal RNA (478 nucleotides) under uncultured bacterium. Its description in RNAcentral is "partial 16S ribosomal RNA". It matches the Rfam family "Bacterial small subunit ribosomal RNA", at positions 29 to 523 of the family's 1533-position model. The record is from RNAcentral.